GAAAUGGUGGCUCAGUGGUAGAAUACUCCCCUUCCACUUGGGAGACUCUGGCUCGAUUCCUGGCCAAUUCA
Molecule: transfer RNA, 71 nt
Filed under: Loxodonta africana (African savanna elephant)
Lineage: Eukaryota; Metazoa; Chordata; Mammalia; Proboscidea; Elephantidae
Rfam family: tRNA
About the family: Transfer RNA (tRNA) molecules are approximately 80 nucleotides in length.
Source: Rfam by way of RNAcentral